AUGAACUGCACCGGACAAGCAGAAUUGUUGGUUCUAGUGCAGUUGCGCCAGUUUGCAUCUGAGAGGGAUGCUCUGCUUGCCCAGUUGGCCAACAUUGCCACACAUAGUCCCAUGAGUCCUGAUGCAGAUCAAGACCAAAUAGGAAGAUCCAUAACCCGACAAGACGUUGAUCAUUCAAGUAUGCGCCGGAGAGGGAGCUUACUUGAGAGGAUGGAUGCCGUCUGCGACAGUUGGUUUCCAGAGUACCGUUCAGCAAGUGAUAAUCCACUCUGGUCCCCUUCUUGCUGA
This 288-nucleotide ribosomal RNA is filed under the name Triticum aestivum (bread wheat). RNAcentral describes it as "partial small subunit ribosomal RNA". Lineage: Eukaryota; Viridiplantae; Streptophyta; Magnoliopsida; Poales; Poaceae. The record is from RNAcentral.